GCAGCCGCGGUAAUACAGAGGGUGCAAGCGUUGCUCGGAUUUACUGGGCGUAAAGCGUACGCAGACGGUGAGAAAGGUCGGAUGUGAAAGCCCCGGGCUCAACCUGGGAAUGGCAUUGGAAACUGGCUGACUGGAGUGCGGUAGAGGGUAGUGGAAUUCCCGGUGUAGCAGUGAAAUGCGUAGAUAUCGGGAGGAACAUCCGUGGCGAAGGCGACUACCUGGACCAGCACUGACACUGAGGCACGAAAGCGUGGGGAGCAAA
Molecule: ribosomal RNA, 262 nt
Filed under: uncultured bacterium
Lineage: Bacteria
Description: partial 16S ribosomal RNA
Rfam family: Bacterial small subunit ribosomal RNA
Source: RNAcentral